GACAGAGAGAGAGACAGAGAGAGAGAGAGACAGACAGAGAGACAGACAGAGAGAGAGGAUGGAGAAAAGGGAUAAGAUGAUGAAUAGAAGGGGAAAGAACAAAAGAAAGAAACAUAAUAUAUUAGCACUGUGUUAAACAGACAGAUACCACCCCACACAGACAGAUACCACCCCACACAGACAGAUACCACCCCACACAGACAGAUACCACCCCACACAGACAGGUACCACCCCACACAGACAGAUACCACCCCACACAGACAGAUACCACCCCACACAGACAGGUACCACCUCACACAGACAGAUACCACCCCACACAGACAGGUACCACCCCACACACACAGGUACCACCCCACACAGACAGGUACCACCCCACACAGACAGAUACCACCCCACACAGACAGAUACCACCCCACACAGACAGGUACCACCCCACACAGACAGAUACCACCCCACACAGACAGGUACCACCCCACACAGACAGGUACCACCCCACACAGACAGAUACCACCCCACACAGACAGAUACCACCCCACACAGACAGAUACCACCCCACACAGACAGGUACCACCCCACACAGACAGGUACCACCCCACACAGACAGGUACCACCCCACACAGACAGGUACCACCCCACACACACAGGUACCACCCCACACAGACAGAUACCACCCCACACAGACAGGUACCACCCCACACAGACAGGUACCACCCCACACAGACAGGUACCACCCCACACAGACAGAUACCACCCCACACAGACAGGUACCACCCCACACAGACAGGUACCACCCCACACAGACAGAUACCACCCCACACAGACAGGUACCACCCCACACAGACAGGUACCACCCCACACAGACAGCUACCACCCCACACAGACAGGUACCACCCCACACAGACAGGUACCACCCCACACAGACAGGUACCACCCCACACAGACAAAGGGGAUCGAAACUUCCAUCUCUGAAAUACAAGUUCAUCCUAAACAUUUGAUGUCAAGUUUGAUUUAUCCGAGUUCUCCUUAACAGUAGCUCAACAUGCACAAAACCAGACCUGUACAUAAGACAACAACACAAAGUCAUCUAAAGAACUCUGUCACACACACACACUGCACCCUGUGUUCACACACACUUACAGACAAAACACAAAGGCUACAUCUCCCUCUGCAGGAACCUGAACAGAGCUGCAAACAUAAAGAGUUUCAAUCAAAAUGUCUCCUCUCGCUCCCAUCCUUCCCAGAAUGCCUUCUGUUUGACCUUUCACCCCAACCUCACUGAAAUAGAACACUGGGAGGUUUCUCUCUCAGAGAAAAGUACAAAGAAGGCAAAUGGUGGAAUGAUGAACAGAAAAACAUGGGCAGCAAGAACAGAAGGAGAGAGAGAGAAAGACAGGGAGUCAAGGAUGAAGAAGAACAUUAUGGCAAAGUGCAGGGGAAGAUACAAGGGAAAGAGAGGACAUCACCCAGGCAACAAGAAGAAGCAGAGAAUAAGUAAACAGGGACUAUAAGGCAGUAUGUCUGAAGGGGACAGAAAUACAGUUCAUACAGAGUAAUUAGAAGUGGAGAAUAGAAUAGGCACAGAUAAGCAGUGGACACAAAGAUAGACGUCUUGACAUACAGAAAGACAUAUGAACUGAAAGUGAGGAAAAUGAAGUGAAAGUGAGAGAGAUCAUGUAUUUACCAGAAUGGGAGGGGCAACUCAGCCUGUGGAGGGGGAGGAGAGGCCGUGACUCUGAG
This 1737-nucleotide long non-coding RNA is filed under the name Salmo salar (Atlantic salmon). Its description in RNAcentral is "lncRNA (ENSSSAG00000089443.1)". Lineage: Eukaryota; Metazoa; Chordata; Actinopteri; Salmoniformes; Salmonidae. The record is from RNAcentral.